This is a long non-coding RNA of Perca flavescens (yellow perch), 580 nucleotides long. RefSeq lists it as uncharacterized. NCBI's taxonomy places the organism in Eukaryota, Metazoa, Chordata, Actinopteri, Perciformes, Percidae. The transcript has 3 exons. The record is from RefSeq and is a predicted model, not a curated record.
UUCACGCAGUGUGUCUCUUACCUCGCUCUUGCAUCGGGUGUACGGCUCAUAUUUGUAGGAAAAGGAAGUAAAUGAAAUGUAUUCAGUGUUUAGCCAAGUUUAUCUGGACGCAGAUGUAACGCUAGCUAGCUAACAAGGCUUCUUUUCUCCCAAGCUAGCACGCCAGUCUGUCGUUUCCAUGGAGUCCCCGGCGUUUCCGCUUGAGCAGUGUAUUCUGGGAGGUUGAGUCGUUGGUUGACUUUACUUUUUCUCUUCGCCCUUUCAUGUUUCUUGAAGUUAUAUCUAGAGUUGCAUGUUCUUUACAACUACUUUUUAAUUGGAGUGAAGUGUGGAGCUCCUGAGAGGACGAAAAAAGUCAGCUCAAGAUACUGGCUAAGAUACCAUGCAAGGGGAUGGCCAACCCAUCAGAAGCAGUUGGGGUCUGGUUAUUGCUCAAUGGCAGUAGGAACUUGAAUCGAACCGCUGACCCUGCCAUUAUUGCACAGCCGCUCUACCUGCUGAGCCACAGCUACAUUCCUGUGAUUUGGCAGAGGGACACAGCACUGCUCUCUUGCAGGAAUUAACCCAGAAAUAUCCAGUG